Molecule: long non-coding RNA, 1420 nt
Filed under: Taeniopygia guttata (zebra finch)
Lineage: Eukaryota; Metazoa; Chordata; Aves; Passeriformes; Estrildidae
Description: lncRNA (ENSTGUG00000029690.1)
Source: RNAcentral
GGCAAUUUUAGGAUAUUUUUGGGGUUUUUUGGGUUUUUUUUCUGGGGUUUUUGGGCGAUUUUGGGGUGAUUUUAAGGGGAUUUGGGGUCCUGGGGAUCCAUCAGGGACCCCCAAAAAUGUCUCAGGGACCCCCAAAAGUGCCCCCCCCUCUGCAGCAGGUGAAAUUUGGGGGAAUUUGGGCAAUUUUGGGCAAUUUUGGGAUUUUUUGGGACUUUUUUUGGGUGAUUUUUGGGCUCUUUUGGUGCUUUUUUGGGUGGUUUGAGGUCCCGGAAGGUCAGAAAACCGCCGGGUUUUUUUGGGGAGGGGGAUUCCCUGGUCUCCCUGAAUUUGGGGAGGGGUCUCAGGAGUCUUAGGAGUAUUUGAGUAUUUUGGGGAGGGGUCUCAGGAGUAUUUGAGUAUUUUGGGGAGGGGUCUCAGAGCUCUUUUUUGGGCUUUUUGAGGCUUUUUUGGCCUCUUUGGGACAUUUUCUGGUACUUUAUGGUCCUGGAAGGUCGGAAAACCGCCGGGUUUUUUUUGGGGAGGGGGAUUCCCUGGGCUGCCCGAAUUUGGGGAGGGGUCUCAGGGCUAUUUGGGGGUAAUUUGGGGAGGGGUCUCAGGGGUUUUUGGGGGCCAUUUGUGGAGUUUUGGGGCUCUUUUGAUGCAUUUUUGGGCGGUUUGAGGUCCCGGAAGGUCAGAAAACCGCCGGGUUUUUUUGGGGAGGGGGAUUCCCGGGGCUCCCCGAAUUUGGGGAGGGGUCUCAGGAGUCUCAGGAGUAUUUGAGUAUUUUGGGGAGGGGUCUCAGGGGUAAUUUGUGGCCCUUUUGGGCUCUUUUGAUGCUUUUUUGGCUGGUUUGAGGUCCUGGAAGGUCAGAAAACCGCCGGGUUUUUUUUGGGGAGGGGGAUUCCCUGGUCUCCCCGAAUUUGGGGAGGGGUCUCAGGAGUCUCAGGAGUAUUUGAGUAUUUUGGGGAGGGGUCUCAGGGGUCUCUGAGUAAUUUGGGGAGGGGUCUCAGGGGUAAUUUGUGGCGCUUUUGGGCUCUUUUGGGGCUCUUUUGGUGCUUUUUUGGGCGGUUUGAGGUCCUGGAAGGUCAGAAAACCGCCGGGUUUUUUUUGGGGAGGGGGAUUCCCGGGUCUCCCCGAAUUUGGGGAGGGGUCUCAGGCUCCGUGCCCCCUCCCCAGCCGCUCCAGCUGCUCGGAGUGCCUGGCCCCCCCCUCGCAGUGCGCCUGGUGCCCCUCGGCCCGGCGCUGUUUCCUCUUCGCCGCGUACCUGGCGCGGUUCCCCCACGGCGAGUGCCGCGGCUGGUCCGACAGCGUUCACUCGGCCCCCCAGUACCAGAGCUGCUCCUGGGGGGGAAUUCUGGGGGUCCUGGGGGGUUUUUGGGGGUGGUUUUGGGGGUUUUUGGGGGUUCCUGGGGGGUUUUGGGGUGGUUUUUUGGGGUUUUUG